GACGAACGCUGGCGGCGUGCUUAACACAUGCAAGUCGAACGGUGAAGCGCUUGCCUUUUUGGUGGGUGUGGAUGAGUGGCGAACGGGUGAGUAACACGUGAGUAACCUGCCCUCUUCUUCUGGAUAACCUCAUGAAAGUGGGGCUAAUACGGGGUAUUCCGGGUCUGUCGCAUGGCGGGUUUGGGAAAGAUUGCGCCUUUGGGUGUUUUCGGUGGGGGAUGGGCUCGCGGCCUAUCAGCUUGUUGGUGGGGUGAUGGCCUACCAAGGCGGUGACGGGUAGCCGGCCUGAGAGGGUGGACGGCCACACUGGGACUGAGACACGGCCCAGACUCCUGCGGGGGGCAGCAGUGGGGAAUAUUGCACAAUGGGCGCAAGCCUGAUGCAGCGACGCCGCGUGAGGGAUGGAGGCCUUCGGGUUGGGAACCUCUUUCGCCAGUGAAGCAGGCCUGCUCCUGUGUGGGUGGGUUGACGGUAGCUGGAUAAGAAGCGCCGGCUAACUACGUG
RNAcentral lists this ribosomal RNA (504 nucleotides) under uncultured bacterium. RNAcentral describes it as "partial 16S ribosomal RNA". It matches the Rfam family "Bacterial small subunit ribosomal RNA", at positions 28 to 507 of the family's 1533-position model. The record is from RNAcentral.